Molecule: ribosomal RNA, 453 nt
Filed under: uncultured bacterium
Lineage: Bacteria
Description: bacterial SSU rRNA
Rfam family: Bacterial small subunit ribosomal RNA
Source: RNAcentral
UACGGAAGGCAGCAGUGGGGAAUAUUGCACAAUGGGCGCAAGCCUGAUGCAGCCAUGCCGCGUGUAUGAAGAAGGCCUUCGGGUUGUAAAGUACUUUCAGUCGUGAGGAAGGUGUUAAGGUUAAUAACCUUAGCAAUUGACGUUAGCGACAGAAGAAGCACCGGCUAACUCCGUGCCAGCAGCCGCGGUAAUACGGAGGGUGCGAGCGUUAAUCGGAAUUACUGGGCGUAAAGGGCACGCAGGCGGUUAAUUAAGUUGGAUGUGAAAUCCCCGGGCUUAACCUGGGAAUGGCAUUCAAGACUGGUUAGCUAGAGUCUUGUAGAGGGGGUUAGAAUUCCAUGUGUAGCGGUGAAAUGCGUAGAGAUGUGGAGGAAUACCGGUGGCGAAGGCGGCCCCUGGACAAAGACUGACGCUCAUGUGCGAAAGCGUGGGGAGCGAAACAGGGAUUUAGAU